GCCUGGGUGGCUCAGUCGGUUAAGCAUCUGACUUCCGCUCAGGUCAUGAUCUUGCGGUUCGUGAGUUCAAGCCCCACGUCAGGUU
Transfer RNA from Felis catus (domestic cat), 85 nucleotides. It matches the Rfam family "tRNA". Rfam says of the family: Transfer RNA (tRNA) molecules are approximately 80 nucleotides in length. Their secondary structure includes four short double-helical elements and three loops (D, anti-codon, and T loops). NCBI's taxonomy places the organism in Eukaryota, Metazoa, Chordata, Mammalia, Carnivora, Felidae. The record is from Rfam.